RNAcentral lists this ribosomal RNA (1506 nucleotides) under Triticum aestivum (bread wheat). Its description in RNAcentral is "partial small subunit ribosomal RNA". Lineage: Eukaryota; Viridiplantae; Streptophyta; Magnoliopsida; Poales; Poaceae. The record is from RNAcentral.
AUGUGGGCCACAGUGGUGCUCCUCGGCGGCUUCGUCUCCAUGAUCGACAAGGUGGACUUCGGGCGGCUCACGCUGAUUACCCUCAUAGAGCUGCUCUGGAUAAACGCCUCUUUCCUUGAAAGGAUAAGAUCUUCUGCUGACCUAUUGUCGAGCUUGAAGGCGGCGAAAAACCUGCUGACACGCAGCUGGCAGCUAGGCGAUAACGCGCGCAACCAUCACCAGGAGCCGCGAGGCAUCAAACGAGAUGCGCUGGCGCUACUUGUGGCGGCGAGAUGGGCACUGGCGCUGGUUCACAGUGUGGUGUUGAGCUUCUGCAUUGCCUCUGUGAUGUGUCUCUUGUUGUUUGGACUGUUGAUCACCACCUUGAUUUCGAUACUCGGUCUAAUUAGAGAUGACCAUUACGGCGACACGGGGGAGGGCAGAGUAAACAUGGACCCGGCACACAAUAUCCUGUAUGUCCUGUGUCUAGCCCAAGGUGCCUUGUUCAUGUAUAGAAUCGCCCUGUUCCUCUCGAGGGAGAGGAUAGUGAAGAAAGUGAGCCGAGCAUAUGGCUUCCAAGAUGAUGGCCAUGCAGUUUCGUGCUACUUGGAUGAGAUCAGGAAAGGAUACUCCAAGAAGAUAUCAUCCGCCAGAGAACGAAACCUCAUCACAUAUGCGAUAGAGCUAAUGGAGUCCAAGUCGCCCCGUAGCUGCCUUUCCGGGGCGCUGAUACUGGAUAGACUACUCACCCGGAAGCAUCCAGAUGAGAUCAAAGCUCCUGAUUUGCCAAAACAGCAUGAACCAUCAGAUUUAUCGGAAAUGGCUGGAGCUCCUUUGGUUGAAAAGGAUAUGAAGAAUAAGAAGCAGAGGAAAAAGAAGAGGGAGGAGAUAAGGGAGAAGAGGGGUGAGUGGAGAAAGAAGAGGCAGCAGAAUCAGCAAACAGAGGAGGAGAUCAUCGUGGUGCAGCGCAGGAUGAUAAGGCGGCUCAUCGGGUCCGCAGCCUCCACACACAUUCUCCAGAAACUGCUUCAUACGCUGGAUUCGUGGCGCCCAUUUGACAAACGGAUGAGGGAGGCCGCCGCGAGGAUAGUGGAGCACGUUGCCAGCGGGAUACGUUUGGUCCAGUUCCCACGAGGGAUCCAAUGCAUAUCUUCACUCCUCAACUGCUUCGAAGAAUACUGCCGACUCCAGCCUUAUCGAUCAUCGUCAUCCUCCUCCUCACUGAACACAAACGGAGACACUACAAGGACUCCACGGUCGUCAAAGGCAAACAAUGGUCAUGAUCAGGAACAAGACAGCAGCAUCCACACAUCGACACUGGAGUCAGAGUUGGAGUACUCAGAAUCAGAGUCAGAGUCAGAAUCAGAAUCAGAUUCAGAGUCAGAUUCAGACAGGGGGAUCGACCGGCCUAAGAUGCUCCAUGGCUACAAAGAGCUGGUUCUAAUUGGCCUGAAUAUCCUAUGGAGCCUCGCAGGCAGCGAGGACAACUGUGCAAUCAUAAGCAAAGCCAAAUAUCCUGUCUCAUAG